AACUCUCUGCCCUGCAGGUGAGGUCGCUAUGCCCACGCGGAAUAAUAUUCGAUCGGGAAGGUGUUUGUGAACGUGGUGUGCAUGCCCGACGCGGAGCGGGAAGCCUGAAGCCUUCACAGCCCUACCCACCUAGUUGGCCGUCGUCGUGAGGCCACGGACCCACGGCAGGAUGGAGAGUCU
This 180-nucleotide non-coding RNA is filed under the name Gammaproteobacteria bacterium. Its description in RNAcentral is "6S RNA". It matches the Rfam family "6S / SsrS RNA". From Rfam's summary of the family: E. coli 6S RNA was the first non coding RNA to be sequenced, but its function was unknown until recently. It consists of 184 nucleotides that fold into an extended hairpin structure with a large single-stranded internal bulge. Lineage: Bacteria; Pseudomonadati; Pseudomonadota; Gammaproteobacteria. The record is from RNAcentral.